CCUACGGGAGGCAGCAGUGAGGAAUAUUGGUCAAUGGGCGCGAGCCUGAACCAGCCAAGUAGCGUGAGGGAAGACGGCCCUACGGGUUGUAAACCUCUUUUGCAGGGGAGCAACGGGCGCCACGUGUGGCGCCACUGAGAGUACCCGGAGAAAAAGCAUCGGCUAACUCCGUGACAGCAGACGCGGUAAUACGGAGGAUGCGAGCGUUAUCCGGAUUUAAUGGGUUGAAAGGGUGCGUAGGCGGAGCGUUAAGUCAGUGGUCACAUUGAGGGGCUCAACCCCUGCCCGCCAUUGAAACUGGCGCUCUUGAGUGGAAGAGAAGUAUGCGGAAUGCGUGGUGUAGCGGUGAAAUGCAUAGAUAUCACGCAGAACCCCGAUUGCGAAGGCAGCAUGCCGGCUUCCUACUGACGCUGAAGCACGAAAGCGUGGGGAUCGAACAGGAUUAGAUACCCGUGUAGUC
RNAcentral lists this ribosomal RNA (460 nucleotides) under uncultured bacterium. RNAcentral's name for it is "partial 16S ribosomal RNA". It matches the Rfam family "Bacterial small subunit ribosomal RNA", at positions 338 to 795 of the family's 1533-position model. The record is from RNAcentral.